GCCUUGGAAACUCAGUCGGUAGAGCACGAGACUCUUAAUCUCAGGGUUGUGGGUCUGAGCCCCAUGUUGGGCA
Molecule: non-coding RNA, 73 nt
Organism: Podarcis lilfordi (Lilford's wall lizard)
Lineage: Eukaryota; Metazoa; Chordata; Lepidosauria; Squamata; Lacertidae
Source: the annotation of a GenBank genome assembly